AAGACAUAGAAUUUGGAUUUUUCUUCUUCGUAGAGUUUUGGGAAGACUGAGGCAAUCGCUGCUGAAGUCAGUAUUGUAAUGGUGAAUCGGGAUUUUUUAAUGAAGUGGGUUUGAAUACUCUUGACUGUUUUGUAAAAUCGAGUUACGUCUGUGAUUGAAGGAUUAAAAGGGUGUCUAUAGGAUUGAGUAUGUGGAGUGAAUGAAAUUUAUUGGGUUAAUCUAACAAGACAGUCAGUGGAUACAAGAUCGUAAGUACAAAGCGGUAUUGAAGAUUAACAGUUUGGGUUGUUCGGGGUUCUCUGUAA
RNAcentral lists this long non-coding RNA (305 nucleotides) under Physcomitrium patens. RNAcentral describes it as "long non-coding RNA (PPAT_LNC009700)". Lineage: Eukaryota; Viridiplantae; Streptophyta; Bryopsida; Funariales; Funariaceae. The record is from RNAcentral.